This 468-nucleotide ribosomal RNA is filed under the name uncultured bacterium. Its description in RNAcentral is "partial 16S ribosomal RNA". It matches the Rfam family "Bacterial small subunit ribosomal RNA", at positions 28 to 507 of the family's 1533-position model. The record is from RNAcentral.
GACGAACGCUGGCGGCGUGCUUAACACAUGCAAGUCGAACGGAAAGGCCCUGCUUUUGUGGGGUGCUCGAGUGGCGAACGGGUGAGUAACACGUGAGUAACCUGCCCUUGACUUUGGGAUAACUUCAGGAAACUGGGGCUAAUACCGGAUAGGAGCUCCUGCUGCAUGGUGGGGGGUGGAAAGUUUGGGCGGUUUGGGAUGGACUCGCGGGUAAUCAGCUUGUUGGUGGGGUAGUGGCUGACCAAGGCUUUGACGGGUAGCCGGCCUGUGAGGGUGGCCGGCCACCAUGGUACUGAGAUACGCAGCAGACUCCUACGGGAGGCAGAAGUGGAGAGUAUUGCACAGUGAGCCGAAGCCUGAUGCGGAAACGCCGCGUGCGGGAUGACGGCCUUCGAGUUGUGAACCGCUUUCGACUGUGACGACGCGUGAGUGACGGUAAUGAGUAAGGAAGCACCGGCUAACUACGUG